This 72-nucleotide transfer RNA is filed under the name Urocitellus parryii (Arctic ground squirrel). RNAcentral's name for it is "Spermophilus parryii (Arctic ground squirrel) tRNA". It matches the Rfam family "tRNA". Rfam says of the family: Transfer RNA (tRNA) molecules are approximately 80 nucleotides in length. Their secondary structure includes four short double-helical elements and three loops (D, anti-codon, and T loops). Further hydrogen bonds mediate the characteristic L-shaped molecular structure. tRNAs have two regions of fundamental functional importance: the anti-codon, which is responsible for specific mRNA codon recognition, and the 3' end, to which the tRNAs corresponding amino acid is attached (by aminoacyl-tRNA synthetases). tRNAs cope with the degeneracy of the genetic code in two manners: having more than one tRNA (with a specific anti-codon) for a particular amino acid; and 'wobble' base-pairing, i.e. permitting non-standard base-pairing at the 3rd anti-codon position. RNAcentral also lists the same sequence under 2 other names. The record is from Rfam by way of RNAcentral. Lineage: Eukaryota; Metazoa; Chordata; Mammalia; Rodentia; Sciuridae.
UGGUGUGUAGCUCAGUGGGAGAGCACUUGCCUAGCAUGCUUAAGGCCCUAGGUUUGAUUCCCAGCACUGCAA